Molecule: ribosomal RNA, 465 nt
Filed under: uncultured bacterium
Lineage: Bacteria
Description: partial 16S ribosomal RNA
Rfam family: Bacterial small subunit ribosomal RNA
Source: RNAcentral
GACGAACGCUGGCGGCGUGCUUAACACAUGCAAGUCGAACGGAAAGGCCCCUUUGGGGGUACUCGAGUGGCGAACGGGUGAGUAACACGUGAGUAACCUGCCCUUGACUUCGGGAUAACUUCAGGAAACUGGGGCUAAUACCGGAUAGGAAUCCUUGCUGCAUGGUGGGGGUUGGAAAGCUUCGGCGGUUUUGGAUGGACUCGCGGCUUAUCAGCUUGUUGGUGGGGUAGUGGCUUACCAAGGCUUUGACGGGUAGCCGGCCUGAGAGGGCGACCGGCCACAUUGGGACUGAGAGACGGCCCAGACUCCUACGGGAGGCAGCAGGGGGGAAUAUUGCACAAUGGGCGGAAGCCUGAUGCAGCAACGCCGCGUGCGGGAUGACGGCCUUCGGGUUGGAAACCGCUUUCAGCAGGGGCGAAGCUUGUGGUGACGGUACCUGCAGAAGAAGCACCGGCUAACUACGUG